CCUUUCUACGGAGUUUUCAGGACGCCGGUCUGGCGUCCGUCGUGUGGCCCACAUGCCGGGAACGGUUCCCGGAGUGGUGUGGGCGUGCUGGUGUGGAAGAGAUCGUUGGCUUCGCGGGUUCUUUUGGGGGCCUGCGGGCAGUGGUAUGGGUAUGCUUUUGGGUUCCCGGACCGCCACCCGCGACUUGGUCGCGUGCGGUUUUCCGGAUGUCCCCUUGGGGCGGUCGGCCGGCCGGUGUGCCGUGUCCGGAUCGUUUCUUGGGUGCGUGGUGGUUUGAGAACUGGAUAGUGGACGCGAGCAAUGCGAUGAUUUUGAUGUCAUCGUUUGCUUUAUCGCGAUUUCGCCAGGCUCUAUUUUUUGGAGUCUGGUUUCGAGAUCGAUCGUUUUGUGAUCAUUUUUUACAGUGUGAUGAUUUGUCGUCUGGCGUAGAAAAGCUAUCAUUAGGUUUUUUCGGGGCGUG
RNAcentral lists this unclassified non-coding RNA (460 nucleotides) under Bifidobacterium catenulatum DSM 16992 = JCM 1194 = LMG 11043. RNAcentral describes it as "partial 16S-23S ribosomal RNA". The record is from RNAcentral. Lineage: Bacteria; Bacillati; Actinomycetota; Actinomycetes; Bifidobacteriales; Bifidobacteriaceae.